RNAcentral lists this ribosomal RNA (305 nucleotides) under uncultured bacterium. Its description in RNAcentral is "bacterial SSU rRNA". It matches the Rfam family "Bacterial small subunit ribosomal RNA", at positions 335 to 632 of the family's 1533-position model. The record is from RNAcentral.
CGGCCUACGGGACGCAGCAGUGGGGAAUAUUGCGCAAUGGGCGAAAGCCUGACGCAACGACGCCGCGUGAGGGAUGAAGGUCUUCGGAUCGUAAACCUCUGUCAGCAGGGAAGAACGGUCACUGUGCUAAUCAGCAGUGAAUUGACGGUACCUGCAAAGGAAGCACCGGCUAACUCCGUGCCAGCAGCCGCGGUAAUACGGAGGGCGCGAGCGGUACUCGGAAUUACUGGGCGUAAAGCGCUCGUAGGCGGUAUGUCAAGUCAAGGGUGAACUCCCCGCGCUCAACGGGGGAACUGCCUUUGAAA